Molecule: ribosomal RNA, 1346 nt
Filed under: uncultured bacterium
Lineage: Bacteria
Description: partial 16S ribosomal RNA
Rfam family: Bacterial small subunit ribosomal RNA
Source: RNAcentral
GACGAACGCUGGCGGCGUGCUUAACACAUGCAAGUCGAACGGAAAGGCCCUGCUUUUGUGGGGUGCUCGAGUGGCGAACGGGUGAGUAACACGUGAGUAACCUGCCCUUGACUUUGGGAUAACUUCAGGAAACUGGGGCUAAUACCGGAUAGGAGCUCCUGCUGCAUGGUGGGGGUUGGAAAGUUUCGGCGGUUGGGGAUGGACUCGCGGCUUAUCAGCUUGUUGGUGGGGUAGUGGCUUACCAAGGCUUUGACGGGUAGCCGGCCUGAGAGGGUGACCGGCCACAUUGGGACUGAGAUACGGCCCAGACUCCUACGGGAGGCAGCAGUGGGGAAUAUUGCACAAUGGGCGGAAGCCUGAUGCAGCAACGCCGCGUGCGGGAUGACGGCCUUCGGGUUGUAAACCGCUUUCGCCUGUGACGAAGCGUGAGUGACGGUAAUGGGUAAAGAAGCACCGGCUAACUACGUGCCAGCAGCCGCGGUGAUACGUAGGGUGCGAGCGUUGUCCGGAUUUAUUGGGCGUAAAGGGCUCGUAGGUGGUUGAUCGCGUCGGAAGUGUAAUCUUGGGGCUUAACCCUGAGCGUGCUUUCGAUACGGGUUGACUUGAGGAAGGUAGGGGAGAAUGGAAUUCCUGGUGGAGCGGUGGAAUGCGCAGAUAUCAGGAGGAACACCAGUGGCGAAGGCGGUUCUCUGGGCCUUUCCUGACGCUGAGGAGCGAAAGCGUGGGGAGCGAACAGGCUUAGAUACCCUGGUAGUCCACGCUGUAAACGGUGGGUACUAGGUGUGGGGUCCAUUCCACGGGUUCCGUGCCGUAGCUAACGCUUUAAGUACCCCGCCUGGGGAGUACGGCCGCAAGGCUAAAACUCAAAGGAAUUGACGGGGCCCCGCACAAGCGGCGGAGCAUGCGGAUUAAUUCGAUGCAACGCGUAGAACCUUACCUGGGUUUGACAUGGAUCGGGAGUGCUCAGAGAUGGGUGUGCCUCUUUUGGGGUCGGUUCACAGGUGGUGCAUGCCUGUCGUCAGCUCGUGUCGUGAGAUGUUGGGUUAAGUCCCGCAACGAGCGCAACCCUUGUUCACUGUUGCCAGCACGUUAUGGUGGGGACUCAGUGGAGACCGCCGGGGUCAACUCGGAGGAAGGUGGGGAUGGCGUCAAGUCAUCAUGCCCCUUAUGUCCAGGGCUUCACGCAUGCUACAAUGGCUGGUACAGAGAGUGGCGAGCCUGUGAGGGUGAGCGAAUCUCGGAAAGCCGGUCUCAGUUCGGAUUGGGGUCUGCAACUCGACCUCAUGAAGUCGGAGUCGCUAGUAAUCGCAGAUCAGCAACGCUGCGGUGAAUACGUUCCCGGGGCU